Long non-coding RNA from Sander lucioperca (pikeperch), 720 nucleotides. RefSeq lists it as uncharacterized. The transcript has 3 exons. The record is from RefSeq and is a predicted model, not a curated record. NCBI's taxonomy places the organism in Eukaryota, Metazoa, Chordata, Actinopteri, Perciformes, Percidae.
GAGCUAUCUGGGCACCCUACUUUGUGUUUUUAUAUGGAUAUUAGGUCCGGACCAAACGGAGGAUGAUAGAGAAGCGUGAUUGCAUAAUGUGCUUUUUAAAUGUGUAACGUUACAUUAUGCUGUUACCACAGUGGUGGUUAACAUUGCUGUUUUUCUUUUCUGUAUUGUACGUUAGAUAAUGAAGUUGACGGAGAAGCAGUGGACUAUGGAUUGACUGAGAGGAUGGUUUCAUACCUCUUUGAAGGAUCGUUUAAGAAGCAAGCCAAAUUCAACCGAUUUGUACAGCAGUGGAAAGAAACCGUGACACUAACCGUUGAGCCUGUCCCGGUACAUUCAGAGAAGGCUACAGUGGAAUCAAGAAUGAAUAUCUGCAGAAGAUUUGAAGAUGGCUUUAAGAUCCUAGUACCCACAGUGCUUAGACUGACUCAAAGGAAAUCUCCCCUUGCAGAUCUGGCUUUGGAGGAAAGAGAGGCUGCCCCACCGAAGAUGUCCCUGGGAUUGAUUUCAGAGCUGCAAUCCUGCUGUUGCCGAUCCUGUUCAGGGAGAAAAAUGACAUUCUCAUCAUACUUGGAGAGGUGUGUAAUUUGCGUAUACUUAUUUUUUGUUUACAUUACUUCACGCAGAGACUGGGAGAAUUAUAUGCAUCCCUUGGAUGUCUUAUUUCAUAAUACAAAGUUUCUAGCUGUCAAUACUGGGCCUUGGUGUGGACAUGGGGGAACG